UACGUGGGGUGCAAGCGUUGUUCGGAAUUACUGGGCGUAAAGCGCGUGUAGGCUGCUUUUUAUGUCAGGUGUGAAAGCCCUCGGCCUAACCGAGGAAGUGCGCCUGAAACUGAAAAGCUUGAGUACGAGAGAGGGGGACGGAAUUCCCAGUGUAGAGGUGAAAUUCGUAGAUAUUGGGAGGAACACCGGCGGCGAAAGCGGUUCCCUGGAUCGAUACUGACGCUAAGACGCGAAAGCGUGGGGAUCAAACAGGAUUAGAUACCCUGGUAGUCCACGCCGUAAACGAUGGAUAUUAGUUGUUGCGGGCUUAACCCUCGCAGUGACGACGCUAACGCAUUAAAUAUCCCGCCUGGGGAGUACGGCCGCAAGGUUAAA
RNAcentral lists this ribosomal RNA (375 nucleotides) under uncultured bacterium. Its description in RNAcentral is "bacterial SSU rRNA". It matches the Rfam family "Bacterial small subunit ribosomal RNA", at positions 524 to 898 of the family's 1533-position model. The record is from RNAcentral.